GGGCAAUUAGCUCAAUGGUAGAGCGCGUCGUUGACAUCGACGAGGCUGCUGGUCCGAUUCCAGCAUUGCCCACCA
Molecule: transfer RNA, 75 nt
Filed under: Candidatus Azambacteria bacterium RIFCSPHIGHO2_01_FULL_44_55
Lineage: Bacteria; Candidatus Azamiibacteriota
Also listed under: 4 other names
Description: tRNA-Val
Rfam family: tRNA
About the family: Transfer RNA (tRNA) molecules are approximately 80 nucleotides in length. Their secondary structure includes four short double-helical elements and three loops (D, anti-codon, and T loops).
Source: RNAcentral